RNAcentral lists this ribosomal RNA (254 nucleotides) under uncultured bacterium. Its description in RNAcentral is "partial 16S ribosomal RNA". It matches the Rfam family "Bacterial small subunit ribosomal RNA", at positions 524 to 776 of the family's 1533-position model. The record is from RNAcentral.
UACGUAGGGUGCAAGCGUUGUCCGGAAUUAUUGGGCGUAAAGAGCUCGUAGGCGGUCUGUCGCGUCUGCUGUGAAAACUCAGGGCUUAACCCUGAGCUUGCGGUCGAUACGGGCAUGACUGGAGUUCGGCAGGGGAGACUGGAAUUCCUGGUGUAGCGGUGAAAUGCGCAGAUAUCAGGAAGAACACCCGUGGCGAAGGCGGUUCUCUGGAACGCAACUGACGCUGAGACGCGAAAGCGUGGGGAGCAAACAGG